AUGGAUAACUUUUUGCUUUUCUGUCUGCAAUAAUGAAGCUUUCCUGAUGUGGACAAUUAAGGACUUUUUUGUUCUUUGGGAAAUUAUCUAGGUGCGUCACUCAGCAGUCUGCACAGCUGCAGUCCAGCCAGCUCCGUGCCAAAGGCGCCGCAGCUCAUUCGUGAAAAGAAUCGGCGAGAGAAAAACCUUGUGUCUGCAAGAUGGAGGAGUUGAAAAUGACAGUUGCUUCUUCCAGAACCUGCAAACAUGAAGCCCCAAAUUUAAGCUAAACUCUUCACUUA
This 281-nucleotide long non-coding RNA is filed under the name Calidris pugnax (ruff). RNAcentral describes it as "lncRNA (ENSCPUG00000007948.1)". Lineage: Eukaryota; Metazoa; Chordata; Aves; Charadriiformes; Scolopacidae. The record is from RNAcentral.